Molecule: ribosomal RNA, 464 nt
Filed under: uncultured bacterium
Lineage: Bacteria
Description: partial 16S ribosomal RNA
Rfam family: Bacterial small subunit ribosomal RNA
Source: RNAcentral
GACGAACGCUGGCGGCGUGCUUAACACAUGCAAGUCGAACGGAAAGGCCCAGCUUGCUGGGUGCUCGAGUGGCGAACGGGUGAGUAACACGUGGGUGAUCUGCCCCUAACUUCGGGAUAAGCUUGGGAAACUGGGUCUAAUACCGGAUAGGACAAUCGUUUAGUGUCGGUUGUGGAAAGUUUUUUCGAUUAGGGAUGAGCCCGCGGCCUAUCAGCUUGUUGGUGGGGUAAUGGCCUACCAAGGCGUCGACGGGUAGCCGGCCUGAGAGGGUGGACGGCCACAUUUGGACUGAGGUACGGCCCCGACUCCUACGGGAGGCAGCAGUGGGGAAUAUUGCACAAUGGGCGCAAGCCUGAUGCAGCGACGCCGCGUUGGGGAUGGCGGCCUUCGGGUUGUAAACCCCUUUCGACAGGGACGAAGCUUUGGUGACGGUACCUGUAUAAGAAGCACCGGCUAACUACGUG